RNAcentral lists this signal recognition particle RNA (296 nucleotides) under Saimiri boliviensis boliviensis (Bolivian squirrel monkey). RNAcentral describes it as "Metazoan signal recognition particle RNA (ENSSBOG00000009283.1)". It matches the Rfam family "Metazoan signal recognition particle RNA". Rfam says of the family: The signal recognition particle (SRP) is a universally conserved ribonucleoprotein. It is involved in the co-translational targeting of proteins to membranes. The eukaryotic SRP consists of a 300-nucleotide 7S RNA and six proteins: SRPs 72, 68, 54, 19, 14, and 9. The record is from RNAcentral. Lineage: Eukaryota; Metazoa; Chordata; Mammalia; Primates; Cebidae.
GCCGGGUGCGGUAGUUCGUGUCUGUGGUCCCAGCUACUCGGGAGGCUGAGGUGGGAGGAUCAUUUGAGCCCAGGAGUUCUGGACUGCAGUGAGCUAUGCCAAUCGGGUGUCCGCACUAAGUUCGGCAUCAAUAUGGUGACCUCCUGGGAGCAAGGGACCACUAGGCUGCCUAAGGAGGGAGGGGUGAACUGGCUCAGGUCAGAAAUGGAGCAGCUCAAAACCCCAUCAGUAGUGGGAUCGCGCCUGUGAAUAGCCGCUGCACUCCAGCCUGGGCACCAUAGUGAGACCCCGUCUCU